UAGAGGAAAGUUUUUUUCAAAUGCGUGCGAUUCCGCUGGUGCUAUGCCCAGAUUCACUUGCAGUCCCCGCAAGUGCGAGAUGUUAAAUAACUUUUAAAGCGAGCCUAUCUUCUUAUAGGACAAUUUAUUUAUACGGCAGACCGUUCAAAGUCGUGAUCACCACGCCUUGUGAAACAUUCAGGCCACCUCGCACGGUGGAAUCGAAUAAACAUUUUAUUUAAAUAGCGGACUGAGGUUCUUGCGAGUGAAGCCCCUAUUCCAGGGCCCCACUGGCCUAGCGGCUCGUUCGGCCUGGUCCAAGGUUGCCUGCUGGCUUCCCAGGUCCUGCCGGUCGAGUCGCGCCUCCCACAACCUUUCAAAUUCUUCGCGUGCCACGAGGGGAGUGUCACUUGGCGUGGUGCAUGUCCCUUUCCUUCCGCGACAUGUACCUCAGACUACCCGUGCUGCUUCUGGAGCCAAAUCGAGCCCUCUGCUAGCUGCACCACAACUCGCGUUUGCAGCCGAACGAACUUCCGCUCCACGAGCCCGCAGUCUUCGCCCGUCACCGCACUGGCUGUCCCGUCGCUACCUGCACGUCACCCAAACAGCGCUUCCUUCUCUCUCCCUGCCGUUCCGAGCUUGGAGACGGAACGAGGCGACAAGGUCGUUGGGUGGCCGCGUAUGGCAAGAAUACCACGUAAGACAAUUGAGCCGAAUGAACGUGUUAGUAGAGUAGUGCACGACCUCUCUCUGUCGCGCGAGAGGCAGCUGACUCAGCCGCCAACGGUCACGCAGCGCUG
This is a non-coding RNA of Dermacentor albipictus, 779 nucleotides long. The record is from RefSeq and is a predicted model, not a curated record. Lineage: Eukaryota; Metazoa; Arthropoda; Arachnida; Ixodida; Ixodidae.